Molecule: transfer RNA, 74 nt
Filed under: Archaeoglobus fulgidus
Lineage: Archaea; Methanobacteriati; Methanobacteriota; Archaeoglobi; Archaeoglobales; Archaeoglobaceae
Also listed under: 7 other names
Description: tRNA-Tyr
Rfam family: tRNA
About the family: Transfer RNA (tRNA) molecules are approximately 80 nucleotides in length. Their secondary structure includes four short double-helical elements and three loops (D, anti-codon, and T loops). Further hydrogen bonds mediate the characteristic L-shaped molecular structure. tRNAs have two regions of fundamental functional importance: the anti-codon, which is responsible for specific mRNA codon recognition, and the 3' end, to which the tRNAs corresponding amino acid is attached (by aminoacyl-tRNA synthetases). tRNAs cope with the degeneracy of the genetic code in two manners: having more than one tRNA (with a specific anti-codon) for a particular amino acid; and 'wobble' base-pairing, i.e. permitting non-standard base-pairing at the 3rd anti-codon position.
Source: RNAcentral
CCCGCCUUAGCUCAGCCUGGGAGAGCGCGGGACUGUAGAUCCCGGUGUCCCCGGUUCAAAUCCGGGAGGCGGGA